GCUGCACUUUCCAUUUGCUCUCGAGCGCAGGCAUCACAGUGAGGGUGAAGUUCCUCUCCUAUUCACCUCAUCAUCCAGUGGAUGGAAUAAAAUUGUUUUAAACCACGAUGUCACGUGCAUAUUAAGCAGAAAUGUCGUGGAUUUGAUUUUGUAAUCGAGGAAGCUCGUCUAUCUAUUUCACAUACAGAUGACUGGCGACCUACAGCAUCUUAUAAUGCCACUGAGAUUCCAGGGACCAUAGGCAGCUGGAGCAGUCACUCGCCCGCAGGAAGUAAACGCAGUGCGGGCUCAUGAGUCUGAUGCAACACGAGGGGUGGCAGAAAAAUGGAGGAUGUUCAAAAUGAAUGAAACAAUCUGAUCCGGAUCCUUUCGCAUCAACGAUGGUGAAACAUCAGUCAGAGCUCACAACUCCAACACCUUAUAUUUGUGUGCACCUAUGUCCUGAUAGUUCCAUUUCAAGGGGUAAAAUAUAAUAGAAAGAUACAAUAUUAAAUAUAAUAUAUAUAUAUAUCAAUCUUAAUGUUUACAUGGUGCUACAUUUUUAAAAUUGAAAUAAACAUUGAUA
Molecule: long non-coding RNA, 565 nt
Organism: Myxocyprinus asiaticus (Chinese sucker)
Lineage: Eukaryota; Metazoa; Chordata; Actinopteri; Cypriniformes; Catostomidae
Exons: 3
Source: RefSeq, a predicted model, not a curated record